CAGUCGCCGCGGUAAUACGGAGGGCGCGAGCGUUACCCGGAUUUACUGGGCGUAAAGGGCGUGUAGGCGGCCUGGGGCGUCCCAUGUGAAAGGCCACGGCUCAACCGUGGAGGAGCGUGGGAUACGCUCAGGCUAGAGGGUGGGAGAGGGUGGUGGAAUUCCCGAAGUAGCGGUGAAAUGCGCAGAUACCGGGAGGAACGCCGAUGGCGAAGGCAGCCACCUGGUCCACUUCUGACGCUGAGGCGCGAAAGCGUGGGGAGCAAACCGGAUUAGAUACCCGCGUAGUCCCUGUCUCUUAUAC
RNAcentral lists this ribosomal RNA (301 nucleotides) under uncultured bacterium. Its description in RNAcentral is "partial 16S ribosomal RNA". It matches the Rfam family "Bacterial small subunit ribosomal RNA", at positions 509 to 807 of the family's 1533-position model. The record is from RNAcentral.